RNAcentral lists this ribosomal RNA (473 nucleotides) under uncultured bacterium. RNAcentral describes it as "bacterial SSU rRNA". It matches the Rfam family "Bacterial small subunit ribosomal RNA", at positions 335 to 799 of the family's 1533-position model. The record is from RNAcentral.
ACUCCUACGGGAGGCAGCAGUAGGGAAUCUUCCACAAUGGGCGAAAGCCUGAUGGAGCAACGCCGCGUGGGUGAAGAAGGUCUUCGGAUCGUAAAACCCUGUUGUUAGAGAAGAAAGUGCGUGAGAGUAACUAUUCACGUUUCGACGGUAUCUAACCAGAAAGCCACGGCUAACUACGUGCCAGCAGCCGCGGUAAUACGUAGGUGGCAAGCGUUAUCCGGAUUUAUUGGGCGUAAAGGGAACGCAGGCGGUCUUUUAAGUCUGAUGUGAAAGCCUUCGGCUUAACCGGAGUAGUGCAUUGGAAACUGGGAGACUUGAGUGCAGAAGAGGAGAGUGGAACUCCAUGUGUAGCGGUGAAAUGCGUAGAUAUAUGGAAGAACACCAGUGGCGAAAGCGGCUCUCUGGUCUGUAACUGACGCUGAGGUUCGAAAGCGUGGGUAGCAAACAGGAUUAGAUACCCUGGUAGGAUAGCG